RNAcentral lists this ribosomal RNA (376 nucleotides) under uncultured eukaryote. RNAcentral's name for it is "partial 18S ribosomal RNA". It matches the Rfam family "Eukaryotic small subunit ribosomal RNA", at positions 592 to 976 of the family's 1831-position model. The record is from RNAcentral.
CAAUAGCGUAUAUUAAAGUUGUUGCGGUUAAAAAGCUCGUAGUUGGAUUUCUGCUCAGAGCGACCGGUCCGCCUUUGGGUUGGUAUCAGGUUCGCUUUGAACAUAAUCUUGGGAAACAUUGGCUGCGCAUCGCGUGGCCUGUUCCUGGGUCAUUUACUUUGAGGAAAUUAGAGUGUUUCAAGCAAGCGUUUGCCUUGAAUACAUUAGCAUGGAAUAAUACUAUAGGACUUCGGUUCUGUUUUGUUGGUUUCUGGGACUGAGGUAAUGAUUAAUAGGGACAGUCGGGGGCAUUCGUACUUAACUGUCAGAGGUGAAAUUCUUGGAUUUGUUAAAGACGGACUAAUGCGAAAGCAUUUGCCAAGGAUGUUUNCAUUGA